UGAGGUUACCUUACCGUAUUGUUCAUUUAAACCCUGUGAGUUUACCUUACCGUAGUUGUUCAUUUAAACCCUGUGAGGUUACCUUACCGUGAGGUUACCUUACCGUAGUUGUUCAUUUAAACCCUGUGAGGUUACCUUACCGUAGUUGUUCAUUUAAACCCUGUGAGUUUACCUUACCGUAGUUGUUCAUUUAAACCCUGUGAGGUUACCUUACCGUAGUUGUUCAUUUAAACCCUGUGAGGUUACCUUACCGUAGUUGUUCAUUUAAACCCUGUGAGGUUACCUUACCGUAG
Salvelinus sp. IW2-2015 is the source of this 293-nucleotide non-coding RNA. Lineage: Eukaryota; Metazoa; Chordata; Actinopteri; Salmoniformes; Salmonidae. The record is from RefSeq and is a predicted model, not a curated record.